GGAGCCUUGGCGCAAUGGUAGCGCGUUGGUUUUCGGUCUUGUACCUGUUCACCAAAGGUUGUGGGUUCGAUCCCCAUGGGCUUCG
Molecule: non-coding RNA, 85 nt
Organism: Neocucurbitaria cava
Lineage: Eukaryota; Fungi; Ascomycota; Dothideomycetes; Pleosporales; Cucurbitariaceae
Source: the annotation of a GenBank genome assembly